AAGUCGUAACAAGGUUUCCGUAGGUGAACCUGCGGAAGGAUCAUUAACACUUUUUGAAAGAUUUCAUUUUUUAUUUCGAAAAAUGAAUUUCUUACUUUUACCCACAUUUUUGGAUGAAUUAUCUCUUUUUUAUUCUUUUUUAAAUUUUAUACCCCAAACAAAAACUAAAUACUAUAUUAUUUCUAACAUUUAUACACAAAAAGUUUAAGAAAAACAUAAAAAACAACUCUUAACAACGGAUAUCUAGGCUCUC
RNAcentral lists this unclassified non-coding RNA (253 nucleotides) under fungal sp. RNAcentral's name for it is "partial internal transcribed spacer region". The stretch from base 1 to 46 matches the Rfam family "Eukaryotic small subunit ribosomal RNA", at positions 1786 to 1831 of the family's 1831-position model. Lineage: Eukaryota; Fungi. The record is from RNAcentral.